UGAUUGUCUUGAUUGUCUAGCUUGUUUCAAGUAUUAUAUAUUAUUGUGGCAUUGGUGAUCAAACAGGAUGGAUAAUCUUGGUUUGAUCCCAAUGGGAUGAUCUGAUCUUGCAUUGAGUUGUGGUGGUGUUAGGUACACAAGGAAUGGGAUACAUGUAACUCACCAACAACCAAGAAUGUAAAGACAAAGGUCUUGUGCCAUUGCAUAUCAUCACUAGGACAUGUUAGUCCAUAAUCUACAGGAAGUGUAGUGUGAUUGAGUAUGCAAUGAGAGAGAUGGCCAUUGCAUAAUACCAUUGGACAUAUCUAGUCCUUAGUCUACAGGAAGUGUAGCAUGGGUCAUUAUGCAAUGAGAGGUGUGUCUUGUGAGACUCUCUAUGGUGAUUCAAACACCCUAGUUCCUGGUUAAGGAAGAGAGUAAACUCACAAGAAGAAAGCUAUCAUGAAAGAUGAUAGUUAUUAGACCAUGGAGAUGCAUAGGAUCAUCACAAGCUUAGCUCCUUCUAGUCUCGGUUCUAAGCUUGAGGGGGAGUCUUAAUGCAUAUGAUCCAUGGUCAGUAACAAGUUUUUGCAAAAGCUUCUACAAGGAUCAUCAACCGGACCAAGUCAGUGGCGUGUCUAGGCAAGAGGCUGUUCAGAGCAGCCUUGGCGAGUGAGGAGGAAGGCUCUCCAUCAAUGCGGCUUCAAUGAGAGGUGAUUGAGGAGAAGCUGAUGAAUCCAUUCUGCCUUUCCAAGAAGUUGAUGAUGCCAUGAAGAUGGUGCAUUGGCCGAGUUUGGAAACUCACAAAAAACAAGGGAAGUUCCCUUAGACUUUUAAAACUCUUUUCAAUCUUUUUCAUUCAUCUUAUUCAUUGCUUGUGCUUGAAAAGAUACUUAAUAUCAUUAUGAUUGAAUUGUGAGAUUGUGUGCAUCAAGUGUGAUGCAGGAUAUUCAUUUUCUUGUUUUUGAUAGGUACUGAUGCACCUUUGGGAUAAUGUAUCAGGUACCAUUGCUUGAGCCUCAUUAAAGAUGUUCCUGGUCAGUUCCCAGCUUCUCUAAGAUGGCUGAGAAGUCUGUUGAGAGGGGGAGAUCCAAACCAGUUUUAUGAAGAGGGCAAGCCGUGUGUGAAGUGUUGAUCAGUCUCACUGGUGUUUUGAAGAUGAUCUGGUCGUGUCCUAGCUUCUCUAAGAUGGCUGUGAAGUCAGUUGAGAGGGGGAGACUUCAAACCGGUUCCAUGAAGAGGUGAAGCUGAAAUGUGAAGUGUGCGCAAAGCUGUGAAGAGUUGCUGCACCUAUUAGGCCGUGAUCCAGAGCUUCUUGUGUCCAACCAUACUGGUUUUAAGGCACAAGAGCUCACUGGCCAAUCCCUAGGCUUUGGAGAGCUCUACUCUUUUUCCCUUGCAAGGUUUUGUCCCAAUGGGUUUUCCUUGUAAGGUUUUUAAUGAGGGAGACUCUUCAGAGUUCCAAGCUUGGCUUAGGAUCUCCUAAAGUCAAGCUUGAGGGGGAGUGUUGAACUGAAGAGAAGAUGGAGCUUGUACAAUGAUAGGGCAAGCUCUAGAAGAUGUCUAGAAGAGUUCAAUCAAGCUUCAGAAGUGUUCUGAAGAAGUUAUCUUGUGAAGAUAAGUCUAGGAAAGACUUAGACUGAUCAUGUGAGGGCUUUGGAGGAGUUAGAGAGAAGAUGGAAGUGUGGUGCAAAAAUAGGGCCAAGUCCAGGAGGGACUUAGAAGAGUAUUUGGGCGAGUGUGCAAACUUAGGGACUGGCCGUACGGAUUUGGUAUGGACAUUGUACGGACCGUACGGACCGAGACAUCCCGAAAGUUCACCAGUCAACCAUUUGAGCAUAGUUGAAGUUGGUGCAAAAAUAGGGUACUGGUGAAAUUCUUAAGAGAAGAAGACAAAGGAGAGGCUGGCGAGUGACAGGCUGGAAAGGAGAGUCUCUUGCUGUAAAGUAAAAAGCAAAAGGAGACCAUGUAUCUAGCAAAAGAAGUGGGCAGAUUCAUGGGAGCCUUUAGCUAGCCAAUAAGGAGCCAGCCUUCCCUUGACCAGAUUCAAAUGGACCAAUUAUCCAUCAGGAACAGCACAGCCACGACCAAGACCAUCUGUCCAUCUCAUCCAUUCAUUUAAAUUCAAGUUAUAACAGCCCUUAGAUUUAGGUUUAUGAUUGCAAGUUGUAAAGAGCAUAUAUAAGCUCAUAAGUGAUGUUUUGUAACUCUCAAGUGAGUAAGGGGGUUUCCCUUCUCCUUCUCUAAUCUGAAACACUAAUCUUCAGUCUCUUAUUCUCUCAGUCUCUCUCUAGUCUCUUAAGUCUCUUAAGUCUCUUAAUCUCUGUUCUUAAGUCUCUCACAUACUCAUAAACACUCUCAUCAAUCCUUUUCUCUAUAUCACCUAGAACAAGCUCUAAUCAUUCUUCAUUGAAGCUUAUACACACACACAUACUACAGAGUAGAGAUCUCUUUAAAAAUCAUACUAAUGAGCUUUAGAUCCUCCACGUCCUGUUAGGCCAGCUAGAAAGCAAGUGGAUCAAGAUUCUGGCUGCAACUCUCUUUUUGGACCGAAAAAGCCUUAUUUCGUCUAGAUCCAAAUAUAGCCCAAUCCAGAAACUUCCUGACAUGUUUUCCUUGUUCUCCAUACAUAUUUGGACGAGGUGAAUGGUAUCCAUAGCUCCUGUUAAGCUCAGUUGGUUGAAUCCUCUUUGUUCAAGCUGUUUCAAGGCAGUACCAACAGUUCUUCUCUUCUCUCUAUCCAGAACCUCAUAGAUCAUGCCAAUAAGAGUAUGAUAUUGUCCAUUAAACUGCACCAUGAUCAGUCGUAUAGCUGAUCCCAUACAUUGGCUUCAAUCCAUUGAUUCCAAUCCUGAUCAGGAUCACACCAUCUCCUCCUCCUUUAAAAGGAUUUGUCCUCAAAUCCAAGCUCUGUAGGAUGAUAGAACCUUGAUAAUUUAACUCCAAAGUUCCUGACCUGGCCAUGAGAUAUAUCAUCACCUCUCUAGUCUCUCCAGGAUGAAACACAAAGCUCUGCAGUCCUUCUUCAUGUCUCAGCAACAUCUUGGAACUUUCCUCACUACAUGUAGCUUCUAAGGCAGAUGAUUUCUCCACUUUGUUGAGUUUGCAGUUGAAUGCUUCUCUCCAGGAUGAUCCUACCCACGUCCUGAUCAUGAACAUGAGACCAUGUACUCUCAGUUUAACAUCCUUCUGGUCAGGUGGUCGUGUGGUUUGGUCCCCAUACUCAUCCUCCAGUUCUGGCUUCUCUUUAACCACCACCAGUUCCUGUUUAUCUCUUCUCAGCUUGUUCUGGUCAGUUAUGAACCUGAUAAAGGACGUGUUACCUCCUGACUCUCCUUCAUUCUCUCUGCAAAUAGUUUUUAUCAUACCAUUCUCUCUCCCUUUAAAAAGAUUUGACCACAAAUCUUGUUUUUCAAGAGUGAAUGAACCUUGCAAAUUGAGCUUGUAUGCAGUUGCUUUCUGAUCUAGAAUUUGUUUAUUUCUUCUAACCACACACAAGCUUCCUCCUGGUUCAAAAACAACUUGUUGCAGGCCCUUAACAACUCUCAGAUGUUCUCCACUAAGCUGAGCUGAAGACAUACCAAAGGUCUGAUUAGUAACUCACAAGCUAAAGACUUAAAGUUAUCACCUUGCUCAACAGUAGGAAGCACCAAUUCAAGAGCUUUAGAUGACCCUCCAGGAACUUUUUCUUCUUGUUUUAUUUGAUCAGGCACGUGGCCACACUCAGCUUCUGCAACUUCUGCCUCCUCCUCUAGUUUUAAACAAAGAGUUGUUGGUUCUGGUUCAGUUUAUGACUCUCCUCAAUCUGUUUUAUUGGAGAAGCUAAUAUAGAAGCUUGCAGCUUUUCCUCCUCUUGUUUUAAUGAUAGAACCGGAACCACAGAUCUUCUCUCAGCCGGUUUUAAUGACAAUUCAGACCAAUAGGCAGGCUGAUCUAAAGUAGUAAGCUUUGUUGCUGCUUCUGGUUUUAGUUUUGGAAGUUUCCACUGCGAGACAAACCUCUUCUUCAUCAAGGUCUUCAUCUCCACCCAUGAAAUAAUUUGUGGUUUUUUUUCAAAUCUCCUAGUCUGAGAAACUCUCUGCCACCAUGAGAAUGCACUUCCACAGAGUCCAUUGACUGCUAGACAUACCUUUUUCUUUUCAGUGUAGUAUAGGAGUCCAAAGAGAAACUCCAUCUUCUUUUCCCAAUCAAGGUAUGCCUCUGUAUCAAUCUUCCCAUAGAAGAAUGGAAUUGUAAGCUCUUCUUCAUAUCCAGACAUAGAAUACAGUUUGUUAACUGAUAAAUUUCGUGCUCCCUUGUUAAAACUUCAAACCCUAACCCUCAAGAGGCUCUGAUACCACUUGGUGCAGCCCUGGAAUGGCUGUCUCUCCCUGGAUCACUUGAAGGGGCGUGGGUGGAUGAAAGGUGAUGGAUAUGGUCUUCUCCUUAGAGCUAUGGAUGCUAUAAAGAUGUUUUUUUUCUGCUCCACAGACACAGGAUCACCCUGCUUAGUGUCUAGGAUGGAUCACUAUGAGAUUUGUAGAGUUCUCUUCUCUGGUUGUAUGUGUGUGUAUAAACUCCAAUGGAGAAAGAUGAGAGCUUGCUCUAGGUAAUUUAGAAAGAGAGAUUGGUGAGAGUGUUUAUGAGAGAAUAAGAGACUUAGGAACAGAGAUUAAGAGACUGAGAGAUUAGGAGAGUAAGAGAUUAAAGAUUAGGGUUUCAGAUUCAAGAACAAGUUUAUCAUUCAUGAAGUGGAGAGGGGAAAUCCCCCUUACUCCCUUAAUUCUAUUACAAACGACAUUACUUAGCUUAUAUAUGAGUUUCACACAACUCAGAUCAUAAACCUAGAUCCUAAGGCUGUAAAUACAAGAUAGAAUGGAUGGUAAGGAUGAGAGAAGACUGGUCUUGAUGUUCUGGUUCUUAGCUGGCGACUUGAUCCAAUGUAAAGGGCUUAGAUUGCUUCAUUUGAAUUGAAUGGAUAGGAUGAGUCAAGGCUGUAAAGGUAAAGCACCUUUACCUUUCCAGCUCAUACCAACAGCUACCUUAUCCAUUUGAAUCUUCCCUUGCCUCUCCAAGAGUCUCCAACGGUCACAUGAUUCAACCUAAGUCGCGCCCACACAUUGCACAACUUGGGCAAGGCUGAUCCGGGUAAUGGCCGUACUGGAUAGGUUGUACGGACGCUGUACGGCCUUGAGGUCCGUACACUCGCCCUAUCUUUGCACCAUACUUCCAUCUUCUCUCUAACUCCUCCAAAACCUUCACAUGAUCAGUAUAAGUCUUUCCUAGACUUAACUUCACAAGAUAACUACUUCAGAACACUUCUGAAGCUUGAUUGAACUCUUCUAGACAUCUUCUAGAACUUGCCCUAUUAUUGUACAAGCUCCAUCUUCUCUUCAGUUCAACACUCCCCCUCAAGCUUAACUUUAGUUGAUCCUAAGUUAAGCUUGGAACUCUGAAGAGUCUCCCUCAUUAAAAACCUUACAAGGAAAACCCAUUGGACAAAAUCUUGCAAGGGAAAAAGAGUAGAGCUCUCCAAGGCCUAGGGAUUGGCCAGUGAGCUCUUGUGCCUUAGAACCAGUGUGGUUGGACACAAGAAGCUCUGGAUCGUGGCCUACUAGGUGCAGCAACUCUUCACAGCUUUGCGCACACUUCACACUUCAGCUUCACCUCUUCAUGGAACCGGUUUGAAGUCUCCCCCUCUCAACUGACUUCACAGCCAUCUUAGAGAAGCUAGGACACGGCCAGAUCAUUUUCAAAACACCAGUGAGGCUGAUCAACACUUCACAUACGGCUUGCCCUCUUCAUAGAACUGGUUUGGAUCUCCCCCUCUCAACAGACUUCUCAGCCAUCUUAGAGAAGCUAGGAACUGACCAGGAACAUCUUUAGUGAGGCUCAAGCCAUGGUACCUGAUACAUUAUCCCAAAGGUGCAUCAGUACCUAUCAAAAACAAGAAAAUGAAUAUCCUGCAUCACAUUUGAUGCACACAAUCUCACAAUUCAAAAUGAUUGUUGCAUUGUCAUUGUUAAAAAUUGAAAAUCUGCUUGUCUUGACUCAGUCCAGUUCUGAUUGUUGCUAUGCCAUAGUUAAAUCCAUCAGUGAUGUAUUAUAAGCAAAUAGUAGUAUGUCUAAGCUACUUGAAUCAUUGGCUUUGAUAAAACUGUAUAGAACUUGCAUUGUCAUUGUUAGAAAUUGAAAUCUGCUUGCCUUGACUCAGUCCAGUUCUGAUUGUUGCUAUGCCAUAGUUAAAUCCAUCAGUGAUGUAUUAUAAGCAAAUAGUAGUAUGUCUAAGCUACUUGAAUCAUUGGCUUUGAUAAAACUAGUGAGCAUAAGCAUGAAUUGAGUAACUCUUGUCGUCUUGAUUGCAUAAGUAUCAUCUAGACUUGUGUUCCAUUUGGAUUGAAUCUGUUUCAUUCAUAUAGUUAGUGUGUAACCUAAUGCAUUCAUCUAUUGUUGCAUUUAAAAAAAAAAAAGAAGAAAACAAAACUGAAUUGAUUGUCUUUGCUUGAUUGUCUUGAUUGUCUAGCUUGUCUCAAGUAUCCUAUAUUAUUGUGGCAUUGGUGAUCAAACAGGAUGGAUAAUCUUGGUUUGAUCCCAAUGGGAUGAUCUGAUCUUGCAUUGAGUUGUGGUGGUGUUAGGUACACAAGGAAUGUGAUACAUGAAACUCGCCAACAACCAAGAAUGUAAAGACAAAGAUCUUGUGCCAUUGCAUAUCAUCACUAGGACAUGUUAGUCCAUAAUCUACAGAAAGUGUAGUGUGAUUGAGUAUGCAAUGAGAGAUGGC
This 6739-nucleotide long non-coding RNA is filed under the name Brassica rapa (field mustard). RNAcentral describes it as "long non-coding RNA (BRAP_LNC008040)". Lineage: Eukaryota; Viridiplantae; Streptophyta; Magnoliopsida; Brassicales; Brassicaceae. The record is from RNAcentral.